Chiroxiphia lanceolata (lance-tailed manakin) is the source of this 930-nucleotide long non-coding RNA. RefSeq lists it as uncharacterized. The record is from RefSeq and is a predicted model, not a curated record. The transcript is spliced from 4 exons. NCBI's taxonomy places the organism in Eukaryota, Metazoa, Chordata, Aves, Passeriformes, Pipridae.
CAGAGCAGGUGACACAGGAAAGCAUCCAGCAAAUACAACAACCGUUCUUGACAAACACAUGAUUUACAAAAUGAAGAAUAAAGAAUUGUGUCAGCUAGAGAGAGAGAGAAGGCAGAUGAAACAAGCACAGUAAUACACAGGAGGCAAAAAGCAAGAGGAAGAACAUUACGUUCAUCAGCCACGGACCCAAAUUAGCUUGGGAAAGAGAUGUGAAAAUUGGAUUAACUCCUAUGAAAACAUCAGGGAAUUAUUAGUGCCCAAAGGACUCACCUGCAGCAUGGACCUGGAUGUGGAGGUGGCUGGAAAAGCCUUUGUUCCCCAUCCCACUCUGUACCUGGUUUAGCUCCCUUCCCAGCCGGGCCCAACCCACGGCUCAGCCCUGGAUCACUCCCUCACCGGGAUCCAUUCCUGCCUGGAAUUCUGAAACAACAGUGACAGUGGUUCUCUUGGACUUGUGUCAGCCUGUGCCAGUGCUUUCCUGGGAUCUGGACACAGGAAUAUGUGAGGAUGCUCUUGCUCUUCCUUCUCCACCCCGCUUCAUCCCGUGAACUGCUUACACGAAACCAGGAAAACUCGGCAAGAGAGGAGAAAAAAAAAAAUCGGUCUGGACUGAAAGCAAACUACUCCUGCCCCCCCAGCAAUGCCUCAUCCACCGAGGGGAGCGGGGCCACGGAAACACCGGGGAGUACAACACCUAAACGCUCCCAGGAGCUUGGAACACAGCUCUGGGAUGGGAUGGGAGGCAGCGGGGGCUCAGGGAGCCACGGACACGCCCGAGGGGCACCGGUGACCGGAGCGACGCGGGACGGAAAAACGGGAGCACCCCAAAACAGCGGGAAUGGGAACCCAGCGGAGCAGGGCCAUGGAGCUGCCCCAUGGAGCCGAGGGGUCCCGCCCGGGCCGGAGGGGACGAGCCCGGAGGAGCCCAGA